This 734-nucleotide ribosomal RNA is filed under the name Staphylococcus aureus. RNAcentral's name for it is "partial 23S ribosomal RNA". It matches the Rfam family "Bacterial large subunit ribosomal RNA", at positions 1382 to 2111 of the family's 2925-position model. The record is from RNAcentral. Lineage: Bacteria; Bacillati; Bacillota; Bacilli; Caryophanales; Staphylococcaceae.
AGUCGGGUCCUAAGCUGAGGCCGACAGGCGUAGGCGAUGGAUAACAGGUUGAUAUUCCUGUACCACCUAUAAUCGUUUUAAUCGAUGGGGGGACGCAGUAGGAUAGGCGAAGCGUGCGAUUGGAUUGCACGUCUAAGCAGUAAGGCUGAGUAUUAGGCAAAUCCGGUACUCGUUAAGGCUGAGCUGUGAUGGGGAGAAGACAUUGUGUCUUCGAGUCGUUGAUUUCACACUGCCGAGAAAAGCCUCUAGAUAGAAAAUAGGUGCCCGUACCGCAAACCGACACAGGUAGUCAAGAUGAGAAUUCUAAGGUGAGCGAGCGAACUCUCGUUAAGGAACUCGGCAAAAUGACCCCGUAACUUCGGGAGAAGGGGUGCUCUUUAGGGUUAACGCCCAGAAGAGCCGCAGUGAAUAGGCCCAAGCGACUGUUUAUCAAAAACACAGGUCUCUGCUAAACCGUAAGGUGAUGUAUAGGGGCUGACGCCUGCCCGGUGCUGGAAGGUUAAGAGGAGUGGUUAGCUUCUGCGAAGCUACGAAUCGAAGCCCCAGUAAACGGCGGCCGUAACUAUAACGGUCCUAAGGUAGCGAAAUUCCUUGUCGGGUAAGUUCCGACCCGCACGAAAGGCGUAACGAUUUGGGCACUGUCUCAACGAGAGACUCGGUGAAAUCAUAGUACCUGUGAAGAUGCAGGUUACCCGCGACAGGACGGAAAGACCCCGUGGAGCUUUACUGUAGCC